CUCUAAGUUUCCUCUUGAAGGAUCCCUAAUAUGCAUAAGUGGAUCAUUCAGCAAAACUUUAUGUAAGUCAAAACAUAUGUAUGUUGAAACAUAUAUUAAAUACUAUUAAUAUGCCACAAGAAUGUAACACUAAAAGUAGUAUGUUAAACAAUAAGCUCAUAAUUUGCAUGAUAAAGCAAUUGCCUUACCAUCAUGGAGGAUCUGUAUUCAAUUCUGAGUCCCAUACCUUCAGUUUUUCUGGAGGUGUUCUGGAUUUGGGCCUGGCUUGUUAUCUAAAAAUAAUUGGGGAUUAAUCAGGGAAAAAUCUUAAAAUUAUCAGGC
RNAcentral lists this long non-coding RNA (321 nucleotides) under Androctonus crassicauda. The record is from RNAcentral. Lineage: Eukaryota; Metazoa; Arthropoda; Arachnida; Scorpiones; Buthidae.